Molecule: RNase P RNA, 395 nt
Filed under: Corynebacterium guangdongense
Lineage: Bacteria; Bacillati; Actinomycetota; Actinomycetes; Mycobacteriales; Corynebacteriaceae
Description: Bacterial RNase P class A
Rfam family: Bacterial RNase P class A
About the family: Ribonuclease P (RNase P) is a ubiquitous endoribonuclease, found in archaea, bacteria and eukarya as well as chloroplasts and mitochondria. Its best characterised activity is the generation of mature 5'-ends of tRNAs by cleaving the 5'-leader elements of precursor-tRNAs. Cellular RNase Ps are ribonucleoproteins.
Source: RNAcentral
UGAGUUGGCCGGGUGAUCGCGGCUUCCCGAACCGGCGGCGGGCGCCGUUAGGCGGGGGUCGAGGAAAGUCCGGACUCCACAGGGCACGGUGAUUGCUAACGGCAACCCAGGGCGACCUGCGGGAAAGUGCAACAGAAAGUAGACCGCCCGGGCAUGUCCCGGGUAAGGGUGAAAGGGUGCGGUAAGAGCGCACCGGCAUCGCUGGUGACAGCGGUGGCCAGGUAAACCCCACCGGGAGCAAGGCAUGACAGGCCGCAGCGAUGCGGUCCGGUUCAGGCGUCACGGGCUGCCCGCCCAGCCUGAAGGUAGCUGCUUGAGGCGCCCAGCGAUGGUGCGUCCAGAUGGAUGAUCGCCCCCUGAAGGGACAGAAUCCGGCUUAUAGGCUGACUCAUCCG